CAGCAGCCGCGGGAAUACGUAGGGUGCAAGCGUUAAUCGGAAUUACUGGGCGUAAAGCGUGCGCAGGCGGUUUUGUAAGACAGAGGUGAAAUCCCCGGGCUCAACCUGGGAACUGCCUUUGUGACUGCAAGGCUAGAGUACGGCAGAGGGGGAUGGAAUUCCGCGUGUAGCAGUGAAAUGCGUAGAUAUGCGGAGGAACACCGAUGGCGAAGGCAAUCCCCUGGGCCUGUACUGACGCUCAUGCACGAAAGCGUGGGGAGCAAACAGGAUUAGAUACCCGAGUAGUCCCUGUCUCUUAUAC
Molecule: ribosomal RNA, 301 nt
Filed under: uncultured bacterium
Lineage: Bacteria
Description: partial 16S ribosomal RNA
Rfam family: Bacterial small subunit ribosomal RNA
Source: RNAcentral